GCCGGUGUGGCUCAGUGGUUGAGUGUCUGCCUUUGAACCAGGAGAUCACGGUUCGAUUCCCGGUGGGGGCA
Molecule: non-coding RNA, 71 nt
Organism: Myotis brandtii (Brandt's bat)
Lineage: Eukaryota; Metazoa; Chordata; Mammalia; Chiroptera; Vespertilionidae
Source: Rfam